GAGUUUGAUCAUGGCUCAGAAUCAACGCUGGCGGCGUGCCUAACACAUGCAAGUCGAACGAGAAAGGGCAGCAAUGCCUGAGUAAAGUGGCGCACGGGUGAGUAACACGUGACUAACCUACCUUUGAGCGGGGGAUAACCUAGGGAAACCUGGGCUAAUACCGCAUAAUACCUACGGGUCAAAGCAGCAAUGCACUUAAAGAGGGGGUCGCGGCAGAUUAGCUAGUUGGUGAGGUAAUGGCUCACCAAGGCGAUGAUCUGUAUCCGGCCUGAGAGGGCGCACGGACACACUGGAACUGAAACACGGUCCAGACUCCUACGGGAGGCAGCAGUGGGGAAUUUUGCGCAAUGGGGGAAACCCUGACGCAGCAACGCCGCGUGGAGGAUGAAAUCCCUUGGGAUGUAAACUCCUUUCGAUCGGGACGAUUAUGACGGUACCGGAAGAAGAAGCCCCGGCUAACUUCGUGCCAGCAGCCGCGGUAAUACG
Molecule: ribosomal RNA, 486 nt
Filed under: uncultured eubacterium WR8133
Lineage: Bacteria
Description: bacterial SSU rRNA
Rfam family: Bacterial small subunit ribosomal RNA
Source: RNAcentral